Long non-coding RNA from Cottoperca gobio, 724 nucleotides. RefSeq lists it as uncharacterized. The record is from RefSeq and is a predicted model, not a curated record. The transcript is spliced from 3 exons. Lineage: Eukaryota; Metazoa; Chordata; Actinopteri; Perciformes; Bovichtidae.
GCUUGUUGAUCGUCAUUGUACUGGUGACCCUGUUCAUCUGGUUUGUGUUUAAAAGGCACAUGCAGACAAAAGCAGCAGCAUCAGCCAUGACAGCGUGGUCACAUGCUAAGAGUGAAGUGAACGUGACAUAUAGUUCUGUGGUUACCAUGAAGCAACAAAGUGUACAAACGGUAAAUACUAAGAAAACCCAGUCUGAUACCAUCAUAUCCUGCUGUUCCCUUUUUGUUUUUGGUCUCACUAGAUUGUCAUAAUUUGUAUUUUGUUCUUUCUUGUAAUUAAAAAAUUUUUCCCCAACAGUUUGAAGCAAAUGACGAGAAUGUUACAUACAGCACAUUGGCUUAGCACCGGCACAUCUUAGCACAUGUUACUCCUGUUUGUCUCCAUCUUGUAAUCUAUCUGGAGAACUGGUGUCACAAUGCAACACAUUGUGACACCAGUUCUCCAAUAACAACGUUCAGGUGUUAUCAUUUAGUUGUGCAGUAACUUCUAACUUUUGUAUUUUGAGAUUUACACCUUCACCUUACAUUAGCCUCUUCAGCUAACAUUUCAAAGAAGCACUUCCAUGUUUGUUUGCCAAUACUGACAUGUUAACGAUUGUAUUGUUGGCCUAAAGUUCACAUUAGUUAGUAAUGUUGAGGCCUUGCAAGGUCUCCAUGUAUGCAAGUAUCUUAAAUUCAACUCAGUAGCUUGUUUAAUCUUCUAGCCAUGUUUAAGAUUUCAAUGU